This 251-nucleotide ribosomal RNA is filed under the name uncultured prokaryote. RNAcentral's name for it is "partial 16S rRNA". It matches the Rfam family "Bacterial small subunit ribosomal RNA", at positions 525 to 775 of the family's 1533-position model. The record is from RNAcentral.
ACGUAGGGAGCAAGCGUUGUCCGGAAUUACUGGGUGUAAAGGGUGCGUAGGCGGUUUGUUAAGUCAGAUGUGAAAUACCCGGGCUCAACCCGGGGGGUGCAUCUGAAACUGGCAGACUUGAGUGCAGGAGAGGAAAGCGGAAUUCCUAGUGUAGCGGUGAAAUGCGUAGAUAUUAGGAGGAACACCAGUGGCGAAGGCGGCUUUCUGGACUGUAACUGACGCUGAGGCACGAAAGCGUGGGGAGCAAACAG